Molecule: long non-coding RNA, 717 nt
Organism: Felis catus (domestic cat)
Lineage: Eukaryota; Metazoa; Chordata; Mammalia; Carnivora; Felidae
Exons: 3
Source: RefSeq, a predicted model, not a curated record
AGGAAAAAAGGCAGCAAUCACCGAGCUUCUCAAUGAUGCUGAGGCUCCCCUCACAAAUUUAUUUCUCCAAGAAGUGGUGAAUAUGUCUUCUGGACUCUUCCAGUGUGGGUGUAAAACUUUUCCAAGAGCCAAGAGUCCUACCAGAGAAAGAGCCAAGACUGCCGUUUACCAUUAUUAAUUUGCAAAAUUUUAGGAGGAGACAGGUCCUAUGUAUUCCCAAAGGUGAGCUUUGGAUGGGCAGAAAAUGUUAAAAGUUUGAAUUGUUCUCUUCUCUAAGUGGGAAGGAAAAAUUAAAUCAGUUCCCUGGCCUGGAGAAAACUAACUAAACUAGAGACAAAGAAGAGGGGAAAGUACUCCAGCUUUUUCUUCAACUUGUCUACUGCUGCUGCUGCAGCCUCUCCCAGCAUUCCAACCAAGAUCUCACCUGACUACUGUAAUUGGUAACUGCAAAUCCUAAAUCUACAGCUGGGGAUCUGAAUAAAAUUUCAAUGAGACAAAAAAUAGUAUUCUAAAACAUCUUUGUGUCUUGUGGCUAUUGUAUCUCCAUAGAUGAUAAAGUUGAUUUAAUAUGUUAUAUAGUUGUAUUUUCAUAAUUUGUCACCAGGAUGCUAAAAAAUCAUGUUAAUGGGUUACAAUUUUCUUACUUUUUGUCUCUGUUAAGUGAAUUGGAAUUCAAAGUCUUUGACUUUGAAUAUAAAUCCCUGGGUCCCCUGGGUG